UAAUUGUUAAAAAGAACACGUUAGUUUUAAUUUGUUUCAUUUUUUUUUUUUAAUUACAUAAAAAGUAAAUUGUAGGUGUAUUUGCAUUGUUUGCUAAUAAUAAAUAAUUUUUCUCAAAUGAUAAUGCUCGAUAAUGCUCCAAUGUCUGAAUCGUCAGCUCUUCUACGCACACCAUUCACGCUCUUCAUUCAGUCUCCCGAUCUCCCAUUGUGCGCACGCGCUUGUCCCGCGUGUCUCUCGUUCGCGCGCUUUCUCUCUCUCUAUUUUUUGUCUCCCCACUCCUAUUACUCACAAUUAUAACAACAACACGUUGCAUAGCUAUGCAACAAGCAGCAGUCCUUACGCACCCGUCUUCUCAUUGUGUCUUUAUGGCAGCUUUCAAAUAAUCAAACGAGAAAAGGAGACGAGAGGAGGAGGGUGAUGUACGGUGUGCGGGCAGAGGUUGAGUCGUGGGUGGCAUGAAGUCGCUAGCUAGCUAGCUCGAGGAAGUCAAGAGAGAGAGAGAGAGACAGAGAAAAGAGAGAGGAACCGGGAGGGAGAGAGGGGUAGGAGGGAGGAGAGGGUUGGGAUGGUUGCUGCUGGCGGUGCAGGGUUGAAUAUCAACCCACGCGGACGUCCCGGACGUGCACCGGUGCUAGUUCGGUUUCGUCUGAACUCGCGUAACCACGCGGCCGUCGUCGCCGCGCGCUCGUCGUCGCGAACGCCAGUGCCCGCGAAAAACGAAAGCCGCGCGUGCGAACGAGAAGGUACGGAGCAGUAGAGCGGACCGCGCGACCGAGAGGAGGACGGAACUGGACGAUGGGAACGAAGGCUCGACGACCACGCGGUGGCUCAUGCCGGACCAACGGCCGAUCGCCGCCGAUGUCGUCGUCGUCGUCGUCGCCGCCGACGACGUUGACGUUGACGUUGACGCUGACGUCUCACCCAUGGUAGUCUCGCGCGCACGUCACAUCACGGCAUGUUGCCGCGGCGGCCGCUGCACCACCGAGCUGCAUCGAUUUUUCGACGUGCGCUCUCGCAAACACGACUGAUACCAAUGACCCUCGACCUACGGCCGAUUUAAAGGUCAGAGGCUGCGUUAACGAUAGUGUCGUCCAGAGUGAAGAUGGAGAAUGCGUGCGAAAGAGGGAAACUGAAUCAACGCGCGGGUCCCAAACUCUCGAUGACGUAAGAUCGAGAGGAAAAAAAACCGAUCGCAAGGAUCGUGACACGUGUGUCGCGCGAAUGAUACAUACAUUCGUGUAUAUUCCGAUUUUCCGAGAACACGUAGUACGCUUCGGCGGUUGACUCGCGGUCUCGCGGAAUCAUUGAUCUUCCUCGACCGCCUCCGCCACACGUGAACGUCACACAAUUCUUCAACGAGUACAACGACGCAAUUACUCGGCGACGCCAACGUCGCCGCCGUCGCCGCCGCCGCAAGCGACGCUCGCGGAUGUUACGGGAUGAUCGUUCUAACGGGAGGAAUCUCUGUAAAAAGACGCUUAUCGAUUCGUAGAAAGAUGACGCUUACGUAUAUCAGAGAAUUAAAAAUUGAGAAACAAAUGGCCGAUCAGAACGAGAUUGUAUCACUUGAACGGAACGGUUCCGUAUGAUUUUUGCAUACCACGAGGAGGAAGUAGUAACAUUGUUGCUUUAGUCAGACGGCUUGUCCGCGCGCUUCGCGGAAACAACGAAUAUAUUUCGUAUAUUUUAUGCUGAAAGGCGAAUAUCACGAACAUAGAGCAUAUAAAAGAAAAAGUACGUCGUGAUAACUGCAAUUGUAGUCUAAUUUUAUAAGGUCAAUCAAUCGAAACUUGUCGAUAAUCUUUGACGUCAAUUUAUCGAAGACAUAAUCACAUAUACACUUCGAGAAUGAUAUAUUUUUUCCGAGUGUUUAUAUAUUAUAUAAAUUUCAAAAUAUAUAUUUGAAAAAAAGCACAUCGCGUACAAAAACCAGAUUCUAUUUUCAUGUGCCAAUUACAGUCCAUGAUAAACGUGUGUGAUAAAAGAAAAUUAUUUUACUUGAACUCAAAGUGAUCUAUGCUAUAUCAUUAUUUACGUAACAAUAUAGGGAUAAAAGAUGCUUCUUUCACGAAUUACGAAUACGUAGAUAAACGAUAAAUACAACGAUUUCUCUAUGAUAAUAAAGACAAUUCGUGGGAGGAAUAAAAUAGUACAAUCAAGAAGAAAAGCGCGAGAAGACAAUAUCAAAAGAUUUAUUGUUACAAUCAUACGAUAAAUAUUUAUUGUGAACAGAGUCAAAACUUGAUCAUUAAUAAUCAUAUCGCAAGAGUGAAUCUACAGAAUUAUCUUAAAAGAAAUGUUUCCCUUGGGAAGCAACGUUUUUAUCACCACUAAUCUUCGUUGGCAAGAUCAGAACCCACAAGAUUGGAAUCUACCGAGUACCAUGGACCUAACCGCCUUCUAUGGAAUGCAGCAACAGGGAAACAGCCCCCUGCCCUACUUAUCUCUAUACCGGCCGUACAAUAACUUUUUGAUGGCUUCUAACCAGAGCUACUUCGAACACUCGCAGCUCAAUCCUUAUUCCACCUUCAAUUAUUACAUGUGUUUGGAUGCGAAGAACUUGUACGCAUCGUUCUUCGACUCCCCGGUAUCCCUCGGAUCAGCAGGCUCGCCGCAGGGGAACCCGACGACGGACGCACCUUCACCCAUAAACUUUCCUGCUCCAGGGGAGAGCAUGGCUGACACCUCAACCCUGUCGCCGGAGACGAACAUGCCAGGCUCGCCGGGCUGCCAGAUCAGAGUGUCGAACGAGUACCUGGUGGGCAGUCCGAGUCCAGGGCCACCAGGGCGAGGAGGAGACUCUCUUCGUGGCACCAGUAGCGGCGAUGGCGGAGGUGGAAGAGGGGGAAGCGGUCAAGAAGGUCGCGACGCGGGGUGCUCGGAUCGCGCGUCGCCCGACUCGGUCUUCCCGGAUACCGGUCCGAUGGUGAGCUUCAGGGUCGCCGAUGAGCAGCAACAGCAGCACCAUCAGCAAUCUCAGCAGCAGCACCAUCAGCACCAGCACCAGCAGCAACAACAGCAACGCUCCGCCACCCCCAUGCCGAUCAAAUCAUCGCCGUACUCGCCAGUCCAGACGGUCUCGUCGACUCCGAUUACCCAGGAGGCCUCUUCGAGGAGUGACAGCCCAGAUCUGAAGGGCGACCUAUCGUCCGUCCAGACCAAGGAAGAAUCCGACAAUUCGGUCUUCGACGGAGGUGGAGGCGGCGGCGGCGGCGGCGGCGGCGGCGGCGGUGGAGGUCGUUCGGAUACAUCUAAUCAACUCAGUCACCGGAACAGCCCGUCAUCUCAAUUCAACCUGAACCAGAACGUUAGUCCCGGACAACAUGGAUCCAUGCAACAGCAACAACAAUCACCACCGGCACCACCGAGGCCACGUGCGCCCUCAGUACCACCGCACCUGCUAGCGGCCCAUCAUCAGUUUUGGUCGCAGAAUACUACCAGCGUACAGGGAUUCGCUACGCAGAGGCUACUCAACGGUGUCAUCAGCAGCGCCGUCAGCUACGGCGGACAGAACGCCACGACCACCUCCACCAGCUCCGGAGGAGGUACCAGCGGUACCAAUUCCAGCUGCGUUACUACCGGCGCUACCACCACGGCGGCCUCGUGCGAAGGUAUGAAGCCACCGGCGCAGAGAGCAGCGCCGGCACCACCGCGACCUCCUCCGACGGUAUUAAUGGGGGAGAUCGGUGGCGUCCGUACUAUGAUAUGGUCGGCGCCGCCGUUGGACCCGGUGCCGCCACCCGCGGCAUCCUGGUCGGCCACGGCGGCGGCCGCGGCCUCGUGCUCCUCAUCGGAGGAGUCGGCCGCCCAGCUGUUGCUAAACCUCGGCCAGGAGUCCAGGGGUAAACCGCCCUCGUCCUCCUCCGCGGUCUCGUACUCGUCUACCGCCGGACCGCCGCUCAACAUGGAAAGGCUGUGGGCCGGUGACCUGACGCAGCUGCCCGCGGCGCAACAGAUGCAGGCGCUGAAUCUCACGGCGUCCGGUUCCGCCGCGCAACCGUGGGUCAGCAACGGCGGCACCGUCGUCAAGACCGAGGCGGCCUCGCAGUCCAUAUCAGUGGCACCGCCCGCUCCCCCCUUGCCACCCCAAGAGCACGAGGAGGACGAAACGCCUAUGAUAUGCAUGAUUUGCGAAGACAAGGCAACCGGCUUGCAUUACGGCAUCAUUACAUGCGAAGGAUGCAAAGGCUUCUUCAAGAGGACAGUGCAAAAUAGACGGGUGUACACAUGCGUGGCGGAAGGAGGCUGCGAAAUUACGAAGGCGCAAAGGAACAGGUGUCAGUACUGUCGGUUCAAAAAGUGCAUCGAACAGGGUAUGGUCCUGCAGGCGGUUCGAGAAGAUCGGAUGCCUGGAGGAAGGAAUUCUGGCGCAGUGUACAACCUUUACAAGGUGAAGUACAAGAAACACAAGAAGAGCAACAAGAGUAGCGGCGUCGGUGGCGGCAUGGGUGGCGGCGGUAACGUCGGUGGUGUAAACGGGUCGGGAACCCUCGGCGGUACCAAGGGUGCCAUGGGCACGACAAUAUUGGACAAGCAUAUGGCCGCGGCUGCAGCCGCCCAUCACAGCCAGCAGCAGCAGCAGCAGCACGCCCAGCUAGCCGGUGGAUUCCUCCAUCAUCACAAAAUCUCUUCGGGCGAUUCGCUUAACUCGCCGCCCGCCCCCAGCCACCCGAGUCAUCCUGCGCAUUCGGGCCACCUCGUCAACGGGACUAUCCUGAAGACGGCGCUUACCAAUCCCUCCGAAGUGGUGCAUUUACGACAAAGGCUAGACAAUGCAGUAAGCAGUUCGAGGGAUCGAGUAUUUCCUCUGGACGCAACCUUAACCAUGAUUCAAACCCUUAUAGACUGCGAUGAGUUCCAAGAUAUCGCUACAUUGAGGAACUUGGAUGAGCUACUGGACCAUAAUUCAGACUUAAGUGACAAGCUGUGUCAGAUAGGAGAUAGCAUAGUGUACAAGUUGGUGCAGUGGACCAAAAGGUUACCGUUUUACCUUGAGCUGCCGGUCGAAGUUCACACGAGGCUGCUCACCCACAAAUGGCAUGAACUUCUCGUGCUGACCACAUCUGCCUACCAAGCGAUGCAUGGUCAGCACAGGUUAACAAAUGCUGCUACUGACGGGACGGGUGCAGACUUUAUGCAAGAAGUAACGAACAACAUGUAUACGUUGCAAAGGUGCCUAACCAGCAUGAUGGGUCGGCCGAUAACCAUGGACCAAUUGCGACAAGAUGUAGGGCUCAUGGUGGAAAAAAUCACAUAUGUCACGCUAAUGUUCAGGCGGGUGAGGCUACGGAUGGAGGAAUAUGUCUGUCUAAAAGUAAUCACUAUGCUCUCACAAGGAGACACAAAAUCACGAGGAAGUACAUUGGAAUUAGAACAGAUACAAGAACGGUACAUGAGCUGUCUGCGAAGUUUUGUCGAGCACAGCGCUCCUCAGCAGCCGGGUCGAUUUCAUGAUCUUCUUGUCAGGUUGCCCGAAGUACAAUCAGCGGCGACUUUACUACUCGAGAGUAAAAUGUUCUACGUUCCUUUCCUAUUGAACUCAGCAAUUCAAAGAUAGUAAAUAAACAAAGUGACGAUAAACGAAGCUGAAUACCUAUAUACAUACUAUACAUACGUUAUAAAUAUAUACACGCAGAAAAAAGUAAAAGAAUCGAACAAACUGACAUGCAACAAACGAAUAGAAAAACAAAAAGAACAGAGUCCAAUGAGAGAGAAAGAGAGACGACUCAAGCCGAACAGGGAAAGGCUUUGUUUGCGAGGACGGAGAGGAGGAAUCGUUCGAGUGAAAAAAAGCGAAAAGAACACAAGAGUGGAACACGAAUAGAAAGUAACCACGUCAGGACAGCGAAAGAAGGAGGAUAGAGAAAGAAACGGAGAAAGAAAGGAACGAUUUUAAAUAAAAUAUUAAAGAAAGAGUAUAUAUGUAAUAUAUAUUAUAUACGUAAUAUAUAUUAAAUAUAUGCCCGUAUAUAGAAAGUUAAAGGAGCAAGAGAGAGAGAGAGAGAGAAAGAAAGAGCGAGAGAGAGGGAGAGAAAGGGAGGGAGAGAAAGAAAGCGCGCCACCUCGAGAUGGGCAAUCAGUCGAGGUGGGAACUGAACUUUUUUAUCGAAACUAAAAGACUAUAAUAAUAUAUUUCUGUACGCAAACACACGUACCGCGCAACUACGUCAUUGUGUGUUCACAUUGCAUAAUCCGAUCGAUAAAAUAAGACUCUCGUUACGUACCGCUCACCGUAGGCCACCUACUACUAUUACUACUGCUACUAUUACCGCCACUUUCUACUACUACCGAUCUUGAAGCUAAGA
RNAcentral lists this unclassified non-coding RNA (6308 nucleotides) under Monomorium pharaonis (pharaoh ant). Its description in RNAcentral is "hormone receptor 4, transcript variant X2". Lineage: Eukaryota; Metazoa; Arthropoda; Insecta; Hymenoptera; Formicidae. The record is from RNAcentral.